This 254-nucleotide ribosomal RNA is filed under the name uncultured bacterium. RNAcentral describes it as "partial 16S ribosomal RNA". It matches the Rfam family "Bacterial small subunit ribosomal RNA", at positions 524 to 776 of the family's 1533-position model. The record is from RNAcentral.
UACGAAGGGGGCUAGCGUUGUUCGGAAUUACUGGGCGUAAAGCGCGCGUAGGCGGCUUUGCAAGCCAGAGGUGAAAUGCCUGAGCUCAACUUGGGAAUUGCCUUUGGGACUGUGAGGCUUUGAGGACUGGAGAGGUGAGUGGAAUUCCCAGUGUAGAGGUGAAAUUCGUAGAUAUUGGGAAGAACACCGGUGGCGAAGGCGGCUCACUGGCCAGUUUCUGACGCUGCAGCGCGAAAGCGUGGGGAUCAAACAGG